Molecule: ribosomal RNA, 247 nt
Filed under: uncultured bacterium
Lineage: Bacteria
Description: partial 16S ribosomal RNA
Rfam family: Bacterial small subunit ribosomal RNA
Source: RNAcentral
CGUAGGUGCGAGCGUUGUCCGGAAUUACUGGCGUAAGAGCUCGUAGGUGGUUGUCGCGUCGUCUGUGAAUUCCGGGCUUAACUCCGGGCGUGCAGGCGAUACGGGCAUAACUUGAGUACUGUAGGGAGACUGGAAUUCCUGGUGUAGCGGUGAAUGCGCAGAUAUCAGGAGGAACACCGGUGGCGAAGGCGGGUCUCUGGGCAGUAACUGACGCUGAGGAGCGAAAGCAUGGGUAGCGAACAGGAUU